Molecule: ribosomal RNA, 497 nt
Filed under: uncultured bacterium
Lineage: Bacteria
Description: partial 16S ribosomal RNA
Rfam family: Bacterial small subunit ribosomal RNA
Source: RNAcentral
GAUGAACGCUGGCGGCGUGCCUAAUACAUGCAAGUCGAGCGAACGGACGAGAAGCUUGCUUCUCUGAUGUUAGCGGCGGACGGGUGAGUAACACGUGGAUAACCUACCUAUAAGACUGGGAUAACUUCGGGAAACCGGAGCUAAUACCGGAUAAUAUUUUGAACCGCAUGGUUCAAAAGUGAAAGACGGUCUUGCUGUCACUUAUAGAUGGAUCCGCGCUGCAUUAGCUAGUUGGUAAGGUAACGGCUUACCAAGGCAACGAUGCAUAGCCGACCUGGGAGGGGGGUGGGGGACGGUGGAAGUGGGACGGGGUCCAGGCUCCGACGGGAGGCAGCAGUAGGAGAUCUUACGCAAUGGGCGAAGGCCUGACGGAGCAGCGCCGCGUGAGUGAUGAAGGUCUUCGGAUCGUAGAACUCUGUUAUUAGGGAAGAACAUAUGUGUAAGUAGCUGUGCGCAUCUUGACGGUACCUAAUCAGAAAGCCACGGCUAACUACGUG